Molecule: long non-coding RNA, 286 nt
Filed under: Malus domestica (apple)
Lineage: Eukaryota; Viridiplantae; Streptophyta; Magnoliopsida; Rosales; Rosaceae
Description: long non-coding RNA (MDOM_LNC017090)
Source: RNAcentral
UGUUUAAUACAAAAAGUAUUAGCUCUAUACAUUUAGAGACUAAUAUAAAUACCUUUAUACAUUUAGGCACUAUAUAGUGGUUUUCCAUCACAUGAAGCCACUUAAUAAGUUCUUAUCAAAAUAAGAAAGUUUAAAGACAAUCUUUAAUGCCUAACAAACUUCCUAAGUAGUGAGCAAAAAACAUAGUGGCCGAACCCUUCACCACAUUUUCUUUGCUUGUUCUUCUUCUACUUGGCUUCUCCACCUAUAUACAAUUAUACAAGUGAUUAGCUCUUUAUAUCAAAUA